RNAcentral lists this ribosomal RNA (550 nucleotides) under uncultured bacterium. Its description in RNAcentral is "bacterial SSU rRNA". It matches the Rfam family "Bacterial small subunit ribosomal RNA", at positions 94 to 640 of the family's 1533-position model. The record is from RNAcentral.
AGCGGCGGACGGGUGAGUAAUGCUUAGGAAUUUGCCCAGUCGAGGGGGACAACAGUUGGAAACGACUGCUAAUACCGCAUACGCCCUACGGGGGAAAGCAGGGGCUCUUCGGACCUUGCGCGAUUGGAUAAGCCUAAGUGAGAUUAGCUAGUUGGUGAGGUAAUGGCUCACCAAGGCGACGAUCUCUAGCUGGUUUGAGAGGAUGAUCAGCCACACUGGGACUGAGACACGGCCCAGACUCCUACGGGAGGCAGCAGUGGGGAAUAUUGCACAAUGGGCGAAAGCCUGAUGCAGCCAUGCCGCGUGUGUGAAGAAGGCCUUCGGGUUGUAAAGCACUUUCAGCGAGGAGGAAAGGUUGACGGUUAAUACCCGUCAGCUGUGACGUUACUCGCAGAAGAAGCACCGGCUAACUCCGUGCCAGCAGCCGCGGUAAUACGGAGGGUGCGAGCGUUAAUCGGAAUUACUGGGCGUAAAGCGCAUGCAGGCGGCCAAGUCAGUCAGAUGUGAAAGCCCCGGGCUUAACCUGGGAAUUGCAUUUGAUACUGCUUGG